AACAGGUGACUGGUUAGACAA
Molecule: microRNA, 21 nt
Filed under: Pan troglodytes (chimpanzee)
Lineage: Eukaryota; Metazoa; Chordata; Mammalia; Primates; Hominidae
Also listed under: 1 other name
Description: ptr-miR-552
Gene: ptr-miR-552
Source: miRBase by way of RNAcentral